GGGCUACACACGUACUACAAUGGUAGGGACAGAGGGCUGCAAGCCGGCGACGGUAAGCCAAUCCCAGAAACCCUAUCUCAGUCCGGAUUGGAGUCUGCAACUCGACUCCAUGAAGUCGGAAUCGCUAGUAAUCGCAGAUCAGCAUUGCUGCGGUGAAUACGUUCCCGGGCCUUGUACACACCGCCCGUCACACCAUGGGAGUUUGUUGCACCAGAAGCAGGUAGCUUAACCUUCGGGAGGGCGCUUGCCACGGUGUGGCCGAUGACUGGGGUGAAGUCGUAACAAGGUAGCCGUAUCGGAAGGUGCGGUUGGAUCACCUCC
Molecule: ribosomal RNA, 321 nt
Filed under: Stenotrophomonas maltophilia
Lineage: Bacteria; Pseudomonadati; Pseudomonadota; Gammaproteobacteria; Lysobacterales; Lysobacteraceae
Description: bacterial SSU rRNA
Rfam family: Bacterial small subunit ribosomal RNA
Source: RNAcentral